AUUAAACGCUGGCGGCAUGCCUUACACAUGCAAGUCGAACGGCAGCACGGGGGCAACCUUGGUGGCGAGUGGCGAACGGGUGAGUAAAGCAUCGGAACGUGCCCUGGAGUGGGGGAUAACGUAGCGAAAGUUACGCUAAUACCGCAUAUUCUGUGAGCAGGAAAGCAGGGGAUCGCAAGACCUUGCGCUCUGGGAGCGGCCGAUGUCGGAUUAGCUAGUUGGUGGGGUAAAGGCCUACCAAGGCGACGAUCCGUAGCGGGUCUGAGAGGAUGAUCCGCCACACUGGGACUGAGACACGGCCCAGACUCCUACGGGAGGCAGCAGUGGGGAAUUUUGGACAAUGGGCGAAAGCCUGAUCCAGCCAUGCCGCGUGAGUGAA
Molecule: ribosomal RNA, 379 nt
Filed under: uncultured bacterium
Lineage: Bacteria
Description: bacterial SSU rRNA
Rfam family: Bacterial small subunit ribosomal RNA
Source: RNAcentral